Strigops habroptila (Kakapo) is the source of this 2618-nucleotide long non-coding RNA. The record is from Ensembl. NCBI's taxonomy places the organism in Eukaryota, Metazoa, Chordata, Aves, Psittaciformes, Psittacidae.
AUGACAGGCCUUCGGAGCCAUUUCUUUUCCAAAGGGCAGGCACUGGGGGCAUGGGGCGACUGCCUCUCUGCAGGUGCGGCAGGCUGCCCCCCCCAGGCAGGCUGCACGCUUACACACAGCUGCGCCUGGGGCCACUCCUGCACCCACCUGCCUUCCCCUUUCACACGUACCUCUGCCUCACCAGGGACUAUAGGGAGGGAUGGGGAUAGGCUCAGCUGAAGUUGUCCCCUGAAUUCUCCAGGCUGUGAAUGAUGUUGAUGCUAAGAAUAGUUACUGAUAAAUCUUUGGCUUGGGUUAUUUGGUUUUCUAAAUAGCAGCUCUUCCCAUCAUUUUGAUAAACAGCAUGUUUUCUUUCCACUUCAUUUUCUCCUUCUCUCUCCAAAGUGAGUGAGAGGGAGAGAGUGGCUGCAGAAGGGCUGACCUGGUGCCAUGUCUGCAUCUCACCCAAAGUUAUAUGCAAGUUUUGUUCAGGGAUAACCCUCAACUGUGUUGGUGCUCACCACUGACACUGUGCAUGUCCAGCUCUCACACAGGCUGGAAAACAGAAAAAAAGAAAAGCCUGAGCACUCCUGUAACACCCAGCCCUCUGCUGUAGCAGUUGCCCUUGUCUUCAUUAGGCCCAGGUCCUGUGCCCUGCUCAAGCCCACUGCUGCUCUCCUGAGGAGCUGGGGCAGUGAGGGAGCUGAGGGCAUGCUGCGCCUGGCAGGGUGGUCUGAGUAGAGACCGCAACCACUGACAAACGCCACGUGCCAUUUGUGGAUCUACCUCACCUGCACAUUUAACCGGGUUCUCUGUUACUUGGUGUCCUUCUGUGGGAAAUGACAUUUGUAAGCGCUUAGUGUUGAGCGAUUCCCUACCCCACCCCAACCCCAUCCUGUCUAGAGGAAUGCUGUGAAUGCGAUAACCUGCGCUGUAGCCCAAGGUCAUGCCAGCUUCCCCCAGCCAGGCACUUGCUGAGCACCCAAGAGCAAUGUUGAGGUUCGGCCCACUGGCUCCGCAGUGAUUUAGUUUAAAGUGCCAAAGACCUACAAGUGGGGAUGCUGAAAAGGGCAGCAUUAAUGUUAUUAAAGCAAUCCCUGCUGAGCAUGUCCAGCUCUGGCUUCUUGAAACAUAAGGACACCUAAACCAGCCCUACUGCUCACAGCCGUAUUCUGGCCUCUCCCUGCUGCAGGGUGUUUGUCCAGGUGGGCUGACUGGCCCUCCUGCCCAAGCAGCCUGCCUUACCUGAGCACUCCCCUUCACAGGCAGGAAGCUCUUGGUACAGCAGCAGCCUGGCUCACACCCCAGUGCCUGUGUGGUGGCUGCAAGGAGCACGUGUGUAGGGCUCCUCAUGGGCCUGAGGCCAGCCUGUUAGAGGAGUGGGCUUUGAGCCAGCAUCCCGCCAGCUGCAAACCAAGCCUCGCAGGUCUCCUUUCUCUGCAAGAAACAAGUGCAGGCACCCGGGGGUGUGGGCGUCCGCCUCAUCCCCUAUGGGGCAGGGGCUUUGGCUGUGCUCUUCUGUGCAGCUGCCUUCUCACCUUAGGGCAUGGCGGGGCUGAAUGGGGCCACCCCGUAAAUAGGAAGAGUUUUAAGCAGAGGCAGGAGGAGCUGCUGCUCACAUUUGGAGGAGCUUUUCCCGUACAAGGUGUGCCUGUAUGUUCCUUUCAGCUAGUCAAUAGCGGGGGGGGAAAGGAUGAAGGUGAGCAAGAAACAUAGCAGCAAUUAACCAAGGCCCACUAUGUUGGGCCAGGGGCUGGGGUUUUCCAGUCAGGGACAUGGUAAGAGUUUGAAGCUUUUCCUGAACCAAGCGCUCCCUAGUUUGUGCCGAUUGAGCUCCCUGUCUUGAACAGACUUGCUGCUUCAGCUUUCUGCCAGUGUUAGUGCAGUGUCUGUCCAUCACCACCUCCCACCCUGCCACCUGGGAUGUUGCUUUUUAGUUGCUAAUGUCAGUUUCAUACCCAAAGUUCUUUGUUGGAGCCAGGAGGGCUUUUGCAACCAGCGCCAGGUUUGGCCUUGCUUGUGCAGAAGAGAGAAAAAGCUCAGGCCCAGGGACAGCCAUUUGCCUUCUGCAGCAGCCAGAGCCAGCAGCAGGAGCGGGCCAGGCCCUUCCCUGUGGGUGGGGGCUGCCCUGGGGCAGAGGGGCCAAAGCAUGUCUGUGUCCAGGCUGGAUGCAGGCACAGCUCUGUGCCCCUAAGCACAGCAUGGACCAUCCCGCUACAGCCUUUGCUUUGCUUGCGCUCAUUCAGGUGCUUAAGCGAGCCCUCCCCAGCAUUUACUUGACACAGUGUUUACUGGUUGAAGUUUUCAUACAUAAAUAAACAAUUCAGAGUCCCAAACUCCUUGGUGUUGCUGUGAUAACUGUGAAGCGCUUGCAUGUAAUCGGCCAAAAAGAGCUACCGAGCAUGCGAUGUUUUUCUGCCCCACUCGGCCCUGCUGAGGUGGCGAUGGCGGGCGCUGCCAACCGUCACUGGGAGCAACCGCGCGUGGCAACGUCACAGAAAGUGUUCAAAAGUUACAAGUGGAAAGUUUUUGUUGCACAAUAAAGAGCUUCACUCUGAGGGUCUGGAAAGGGUUUUAUACCCCUUGAUGGGUACGUGCGUGUUUCUGCGUUGUCACAAAUAAAAGCAAACGUUCUCAAA